Molecule: transfer RNA, 73 nt
Filed under: Camelus bactrianus (Bactrian camel)
Lineage: Eukaryota; Metazoa; Chordata; Mammalia; Artiodactyla; Camelidae
Also listed under: 1 other name
Rfam family: tRNA
About the family: Transfer RNA (tRNA) molecules are approximately 80 nucleotides in length. Their secondary structure includes four short double-helical elements and three loops (D, anti-codon, and T loops).
Source: Rfam by way of RNAcentral
GAGGGUAUAGCUCAAGUGGUAGAGCACAUGCUUAGCAUGCAUGAGGUCCCAGGUUCAAUCCCCAGUACCUCCU